This 73-nucleotide transfer RNA is filed under the name Diaphorina citri (Asian citrus psyllid). It matches the Rfam family "tRNA". From Rfam's summary of the family: Transfer RNA (tRNA) molecules are approximately 80 nucleotides in length. The record is from Rfam by way of RNAcentral. Lineage: Eukaryota; Metazoa; Arthropoda; Insecta; Hemiptera; Psyllidae.
CCUAAGUUAGCUUAGUUGGUAGCGCGUCUGCCUUGUAAGCUUUAGGGCGCGGGUUUAAUUCCCGCGCCUUGGC